GAUGAACGCUGGCGGCGUGCCUAAUACAUGCAAGUCGAGCGAACGGACGAGAAGCUUGCUUCUCUGAUGUUAGCGGCGGACGGGAGAGUCACACGUGGAUAACCUACCUAUCAGACUGGGAUAACUUCGGGACACCGGAGCUUAUACCGGAUGAUAUUUUGCACCGCGUGGUUCAAAAGUGAAAUACGGUCUUGCUGUCACUUAUAGCUGGCUCCGCGCUGCAUUAGCUAGUUGGUAAGGUAACGGCUUACCAAGGCAACGAUGCAUAGCCGACCUGAGGGGGUGGUCGGCCACCUGGGAAGUGAGACACGGUCCAGACUCCUACGGGAGGCAGCAGUAGGGAAUCUUCCGCAAGGGGCGAGAGCCUGACGGAGCAACGCGGCGUGAGUGAUGAAGGUGUUCGGAUCGGAAAACUCUGUUAUUAGUGGAGAACAUAUGUGUAAGUAACCGUGCAGAUAUUGACGGUACCGAAUCAGAAAGCAACGGCUAACUACGUG
Molecule: ribosomal RNA, 497 nt
Filed under: uncultured bacterium
Lineage: Bacteria
Description: partial 16S ribosomal RNA
Rfam family: Bacterial small subunit ribosomal RNA
Source: RNAcentral